Molecule: ribosomal RNA, 690 nt
Filed under: Kingella kingae
Lineage: Bacteria; Pseudomonadati; Pseudomonadota; Betaproteobacteria; Neisseriales; Neisseriaceae
Description: partial 23S ribosomal RNA
Rfam family: Bacterial large subunit ribosomal RNA
Source: RNAcentral
GGAUAGGUGGGAGGCUUUGAAGCAGAGACGCCAGUCUCUGUGGAGCCGUCCUUGAAAUACCACCCUGGUGACUUUGAGGUUCUAACCCAGACCCGUUAUCCGGGUCGGGGACCGUGCAUGGUAGGCAGUUUGACUGGGGCGGUCUCCUCCCAAAGAGUAACGGAGGAGUUCGAAGGUUACCUAGGUCCGGUCGGAAAUCGGACUGAUAGUGCAAUGGCAAAAGGUAGCUUAACUGCGAGACCGACAAGUCGAGCAGGUGCGAAAGCAGGACAUAGUGAUCCGGUGGUUCUGAAUGGAAGGGCCAUCGCUCAACGGAUAAAAGGUACUCCGGGGAUAACAGGCUGAUUCCGCCCAAGAGUCCAUAUCGACGGCGGAGUUUGGCACCUCGAUGUCGGCUCAUCACAUCCUGGGGCUGUAGUCGGUCCCAAGGGUAUGGCUGUUCGCCAUUUAAAGUGGUACGUGAGCUGGGUUUAAAACGUCGUGAGACAGUUUGGUCCCUAUCUGCAGUGGGCGUUGGAAGUUUGACGGGGGCUGCUCCUAGUACGAGAGGACCGGAGUGGACGAACCUCUGGUGUACCGGUUGUUUCGCCAGAAGCAUAGCCGGGUAGCUAAGUUCGGAAGAGAUAAGCGCUGAAAGCAUCUAAGCGCGAAACUCGCCCAAAGAUGAGACUUCCCUUGUGGUUUAACCAU